AUUGAACGCUGGCGGCAUGCCUUACACAUGCAAGUCGAACGGUAACAGGUCUUCGGAUGCUGACGAGUGGCGAACGGGUGAGUAAUACAUCGGAACGUGCCUAGUAGUGGGGGAUAACUACUCGAAAGAGUGGCUAAUACCGCAUGAGAUCUACGGAUGAAAGCAGGGGAUCGCAAGACCUUGUGCUACUAGAGCGGCCGAUGGCAGAUUAGGUAGUUGUUGGGAUAAAAGCUUACCAAGCCGACGAUCUGUAGCUGGUCUGAGAGGACGAUCAGCCACACUGGGACUGCGACACGGCCCAGACUCCGACGGGAGGCAGCAGUGAGGAAUUUUGGACAAUGGGCGAAAGCCUGAUCCAGCAAUGCCGCGUGCAGGAUGAAGGCCUUCGGGUUGUAAACUGCUUUUGUACGGAACGAAAAGCCCCGGGUUAAUACCCUGGGGUCAUGACGGUACCGUAAGAAUAAGCACCGGCUAACUACGUGCCAGCCGCCGCGGUAA
This 498-nucleotide ribosomal RNA is filed under the name uncultured bacterium. RNAcentral describes it as "partial 16S ribosomal RNA". It matches the Rfam family "Bacterial small subunit ribosomal RNA", at positions 30 to 523 of the family's 1533-position model. The record is from RNAcentral.